This 73-nucleotide transfer RNA is filed under the name Megaselia scalaris. It matches the Rfam family "tRNA". Rfam says of the family: Transfer RNA (tRNA) molecules are approximately 80 nucleotides in length. The record is from Rfam by way of RNAcentral. Lineage: Eukaryota; Metazoa; Arthropoda; Insecta; Diptera; Phoridae.
GAUGUUGUAGCUCAAUGAAUAGGGCAAUUCCCCGGCAAGGAAGAGGUUGUGGCUUCAAAUCCCACCCAUAUCA